GACGAACGCUGGCGGCGUGCCUAAUACAUGCAAGUCGAACGCUUCUUUCCUCCCGAGUGCUUGCACUCAAUUGGAAAGAGGAGUGGCGGACGGGUGAGUAACACGUGGGUAACCUACCCAUCAGAGGGGGAUAACACUUGGAAACAGGUGCUAAUACCGCAUAACAGUUUAUGCCGCAUGGCAUAAGAGUGAAAGGCGCUUUCGGGUGUCGUUGAUGGAUGGACCCGCGGUGCAUUAGCUAGUUGGUGAGGUAACGGCUCACCAAGGCCACGAUGCAUAGCCGACCUGAGAGGGUGAUCGGCCACACUGGGACUGAGACACGGCCCAGACUCCUACGGGAGGCAGCAGUAGGGAAUCUUCGGCAAUGGACGAAAGUCUGACCGAGCAACGCCGCGUGAGUGAAGAAGGUUUUCGGAUCGUAAAACUCUGUUGUUAGAGAAGAACAAGGACGUUAGUAACUGAAUGUCCCCUGACGGUAUCUAACCAGAAAGCCACGGCUAACUACGUG
This 508-nucleotide ribosomal RNA is filed under the name uncultured bacterium. RNAcentral describes it as "partial 16S ribosomal RNA". It matches the Rfam family "Bacterial small subunit ribosomal RNA", at positions 28 to 507 of the family's 1533-position model. The record is from RNAcentral.